CCGUAGGUAGGGGGAUUUAAGAAGAGAGACUAGGGGAGCUGGGCUGCGCGCCUCCUCCUGGUGGAAAUUAACGAGGAAUGUGCCGGAAAAGACUGCCUGAAUACAAGCCCUGCAUCUUCAUAAGAAAACUAAAGACACUUCAAGGUUUCUGAUAAUCUCCACAACCACCCUCCAAAAAGGAAAUAAUGAAGUGUGGAAGUUUUCACAAUGCGAAGCUUCUCUUCCUCUCUUCU
Long non-coding RNA from Homo sapiens (human), 233 nucleotides. RefSeq lists it as uncharacterized. Lineage: Eukaryota; Metazoa; Chordata; Mammalia; Primates; Hominidae. The transcript has 3 exons. The record is from RefSeq and is a predicted model, not a curated record.